AAUAUUGGGCAAUGGGCGAAAGCCUGACCCAGCAACGCCGCGUGAAGGAAGAAGGUCUUCGGAUUGUAAACUUCUUUUAUGAGGGACGAAGGAAGUGACGGUACCUCAUGAAUAAGCCACGGCUAACUACGUGCCAGCAGCCGCGGUAAUACGUAGGUGGCAAGCGUUAUCCGGAUUUACUGGGUGUAAAGGGCGCGUAGGCGGGGAUGCAAGUCAGAUGUGAAAUCUAUGGGCUUAACUCAUAAACUGCAUUUGAAACUGUCGUUCUUGAGUACUGGAGAGGUUGACGGAAUUCCUAGUGUAGCGGUGAAAUGCGUAGAUAUUAGGAGGAACACCAGUGGCGAAGGCGGUCAACUGGACAGCAACUGACGCUGAGGCGCGAAAGCGUGGGGAGCAAA
Molecule: ribosomal RNA, 398 nt
Filed under: uncultured bacterium
Lineage: Bacteria
Description: bacterial SSU rRNA
Rfam family: Bacterial small subunit ribosomal RNA
Source: RNAcentral